Molecule: ribosomal RNA, 199 nt
Filed under: uncultured bacterium
Lineage: Bacteria
Description: partial 16S ribosomal RNA
Rfam family: Bacterial small subunit ribosomal RNA
Source: RNAcentral
ACGCUCGACACCUACGCGAGGCAGCAGUCGGGAAUAUUGCGCAAUGGAGGAAACUCUGACGCAGUGACGCCGCGUAUAGGAAGAAGGUUUUCGGAUUGUAAACUAUUGUCGUUAGGGAAGAAAAAAGACAGUACCUAAGGAGGAAGCUCCGGCUAACUACGUGCCCGCAGCCGCGGUAAUCUGAGCGGGCUGGCAAGGC